CUACGGGUGGCUGCAGUAAGGAAUAUUGCGCAAUGGAGGCAACUCUGACGCAGCCAUGCCGCGUGCAGGAAGAAGGCCUUAUGGGUCGUAAACUGCUUUUAUUUAGGAAUAAACCCCCGAACGUGUUCGGGGCUGAAGGUACUAAACGAAUAAGCACCGGCUAACUCCGUGCCAGCAGCCGCGGUAAUACGGAGGGUGCAAGCGUUAUCCGGAUUUAUGGGGUUUAAAGGGUGCGCAGGCGGGCUAUUAAGUCAGUGGUGAAAUCCCGGGGCUCAACUCCGGAACUGCCAUUGAUACUGAGAGUCUUUAGUUUGGUUGAAGUGGGCGGAAUGUCGCAUGUAGCGGUGAAAUGCAUAGAUAUGCUACAGAACACCAAUCGCGAAGGCAGCUCACUAAGCCAAAACUGACGCUCAUGCACGAAAGCGUGGGGAUCAAACAGGAUUAGAUACCCCCGUAGUC
This 459-nucleotide ribosomal RNA is filed under the name uncultured bacterium. RNAcentral describes it as "partial 16S ribosomal RNA". It matches the Rfam family "Bacterial small subunit ribosomal RNA", at positions 339 to 795 of the family's 1533-position model. The record is from RNAcentral.